Molecule: long non-coding RNA, 656 nt
Filed under: Dermacentor andersoni
Lineage: Eukaryota; Metazoa; Arthropoda; Arachnida; Ixodida; Ixodidae
Description: uncharacterized LOC126526606
Source: RNAcentral
CACUUCCGGCGGUUCGGAAAGGUUGUUGAAGUUUCAGAAUCGUGUGGAGACGCCGGGAGUCGCUGCUGGUUUCGUGUCGAUGGAGCACAGAGGCUAUGGAGGCGAUCAACAACGAAGCGCUGAUCGCCUGCGUUGAGGCUCGACCUGCGCUUUGGUAGCAGGCGAAACACAAGCGCCACUAGAACAAGCACUUGACGAGGUGGUCAUGGAUCGUCAUGCCCAACGCUCCCGAACAGAUGACGUUAUCACAGCGCUGCAGAAGUGAUGGAAGUCCCUGGGGAAUAAAUUUCGGCGCCUGGGAAGACGUUUCAGAAAGAAAAGAGCCGCGCCGUGCCAGUCGACGUUCACGACGACGUCAUCUGGCUGUUUUUCGACGAGAUGUUUGUGCGCUACACAAUGGAGUGUAGACCGAUGUCCGCCAACCUUCCACCAGUGCCCCCAUCGAGUGAGGAGGGAAGUGCUGCAGACAUCUUAACAAAAAAUGUGCCAGUUUUCCGAUCUAGCAACACUUGAGGUGCCAUCACCGUCAAGUGAAGGGUCACAAGCGCCAGCAUCGACUCUGUCUUCGGCGUCGCAUGAGUCUGUGGAGUCUCAGGACAUUUUGGAAUCUCUUGAAUCACUGAUGUUUCAAGAAGUUCUGGUUCCUGAGGAUACUG